AAGCUCUGUACCAGAACCCUCUGUCAGAAAUACAGGACAGGUAAAGUCAGAAAGAUAGGAACUUCCUGUAACGUGAUGUCACCUUCCGUACUUGACUGGAUUCAAUGCUGAUGGCAAAUCCCACAAGUCAUUACAAAAAAAAAAAAAAAGAGAGAGAAAUGGGUAAGAAAUAUGGACAUGUGGCAGUAAGAGGCCUGGAAACUCCUGAAGGGGCAUAUAAAAGACUAUGGAAGAUAUGCUACAUUAUUAUUAGUUAUUUGAUUUCUUACCUGCCCUUCACCAUAAGGUCUGAAGGCAGGUUAUGGCAAUUUAAAAAUACAGUACUAAAAGCGAAUUACAGCCCCAAGAAGGGACUCAUGGGUUUUCUGAGAUGGGGUAGAAAAGUCCUGUGGCAUUUUAGAGCCUAACAAUUAAUCCUAAACCCCUUAAAAGCCUCUGUUGCUUUGCUGCAACGGAUCAACAAAGCUACCCCACCCCCGACCUUGUAGUAGAGGUAAUAAAACUACAUUUCCCAUAAUGCCUUUCUUUACUCUUCAGCUCCACCUCCUUCCUUCCUGCCUUUUAUAAUCCAGUUUAUGCAAGGGGUCUAUAGCAGAGCUUCCAAGCUGACCGGCACUCUCCUUCCCAAAGCAUGGUCUGACUUAUAAUUGGUGUUUGCCGCUAUGUGGCUAGGAGAAUAGCAGCAUCGCUGCGCAACGAGGAUCUGGGGGAGCCUGUGUUGGCGUGCAAGAAUGGGGUGUGCCCGCUGGGCAAGCAAAAAAGCACAAUGCCGCCAUCUACUAGUUCCCCUGUCAGCCAAGGGGCAACCCCCCCUGCUGCCACAACAGAAGUUGGGAUCCAUAAGCCACAUUCUUGAUGGAAUAAAAUGAGGGAUGGCAGAAGGAGAAUGACGGUCCAUUUGACAACUCCUGUGCACGCAGGAAUCGAACGGACCUGAGCAUCCUUUAGCCUCCCCUCCACCUCACCAUUCCUCUGUUAAAUCUGCUUAAAUAAAAGAAGCACUUUGCGUGCUCUAAUACACCAA
Podarcis raffonei (Aeolian wall lizard) is the source of this 1024-nucleotide long non-coding RNA. RefSeq lists it as uncharacterized. The transcript is spliced from 4 exons. NCBI's taxonomy places the organism in Eukaryota, Metazoa, Chordata, Lepidosauria, Squamata, Lacertidae. The record is from RefSeq and is a predicted model, not a curated record.